This is a non-coding RNA of Paramuricea clavata, 268 nucleotides long. Lineage: Eukaryota; Metazoa; Cnidaria; Anthozoa; Malacalcyonacea; Plexauridae. The record is from the annotation of a GenBank genome assembly.
CUAAUUCUCAAAAGGGAUUGAUUGCAAGUCAAGAAUAUCUGAAUAAUCGAAUAUGAUAUAUUUUAUUUGCGUUUCGUUUGAUUUUAUACAAUUUUAUACAGGGUGAAUAAAAAGUAGACAAUUCUCCGAUCUGAGUUGACGUCAUCAAUUUUCCAUCUCACUAUCUACAGAUCUUUGCCAAAAAUGAACCCCAGAAUUGAAAUCUUCAUGCGCAAAUUCGUCUAUUCUUGUGUUUCAUAUGACAUCACAAAAGUGACGGGUCAACUCU